RNAcentral lists this ribosomal RNA (484 nucleotides) under uncultured bacterium. RNAcentral's name for it is "partial 16S ribosomal RNA". It matches the Rfam family "Bacterial small subunit ribosomal RNA", at positions 28 to 507 of the family's 1533-position model. The record is from RNAcentral.
AUUGAACGCUGGCGGCAUGCUUUACACAUGCAAGUCGAACGGCAGCGCGGGCUUCGGCCUGGCGGCGCGUGGCGAACGGGUGAGUAAUGCAUCGGAACGUGCCCAGUAGUGGGGGAUAGCCCGGCGAAAGCCGGAUUAAUACCGCAUACGACCUGAGGGUGAAAGCGGGGGACCGAAAGGCCUCGCGCUAUUGGCGCGGCCGAUGUCGGAUUAGCUAGUUGGUGGGGUAAAGGCUUACCAAGGCGACGAUCCGUAGCUGGUCUGAGAGGACGACCAGCCACACUGGGACUGAGACACGGCCCAGACUCCUACGGGAGGCAGCAGUGGGGAAUUUUGGACAAUGGGGGCAACCCUGAUCCAGCCAUGCCGCGUGCGGGAAGAAGGCCUUCGGGUUGUAAACCGCUGUUGUUCGGGAAGAAAACCUCUGGGCUAAUACCCCGGGGGGAUGACGGUACCGGAAGAAUAAGCACCGGCUAACUACGUG